GAUGAACGCUGGCGGCGUGCCUAAUACAUGCAAGUCGAGCGAACAGACGAGGUGCUUGCUCCUCUGACGUUAGCGGCGGACGGGUGAGUAACACGUGGAUAACCUACCUAUAAGACUGGGAUAACUUCGGGAAACCGGAUCUAAUACCGGAUAAUAUAUUGAACCGCAUGGUUCAAUAGUGAAAGACGGUUUUGCUGUCACUUAUAGAUGGAUCCGCGUCGCAUUAGCUAGUUGGUAAGGUAACGGCUUACCAAGGCAACGAUGCGUAGCCGACCUGAGAGGGUGAUCGGCCACACUGGAACUGAGACACGGUCCAGACUCCUACGGGAGGCAGCAGUAGGGAAUCUUGCGCAAUGGGCGAAAGCCUGACGGAGCAACGCCGCGUGAGUGAUGAAGGUCUUCGGAUCGUAAAACUCUGUUAUUAGGGAAGAACAAAUGUGUAAGUAACUAUGCACGUCUUGACGGUACCUAAACAGAAAGCCACGGCUAACUACGUG
Molecule: ribosomal RNA, 497 nt
Filed under: uncultured bacterium
Lineage: Bacteria
Description: partial 16S ribosomal RNA
Rfam family: Bacterial small subunit ribosomal RNA
Source: RNAcentral